RNAcentral lists this ribosomal RNA (468 nucleotides) under uncultured bacterium. RNAcentral's name for it is "partial 16S ribosomal RNA". It matches the Rfam family "Bacterial small subunit ribosomal RNA", at positions 28 to 507 of the family's 1533-position model. The record is from RNAcentral.
GACGAACGCUGGCGGCGUGCUUAACACAUGCAAGUCGAACGGAAAGGCCCUGCUUUUGUGGGGUGCUCGAGUGGCGAACGGGUGAGUAACACGUGAGUAACCUGCCCUUGACUUUGGGAUAACUUCAGUAAACUUGGGCUAAUACCGGAUAGGCGCUCCUGCUGCAUGGUGGGGGUUGUAAAGUUUCGGCGGUUGGGGAUGGACUCGCGGCUUAUCAGCUUGUUGGUGGGGUAGUGGCUUACCAAGGCUUUGACGGGUAGCCGGCCUGAGAGGGUGACCGGCCAGAUUGGGACUGAGAUACGGCCCAGACUCCUACGGGAGGCAGAAGGGGGGAAUAUUGCACAAUGGGCGGAAGCCUGAUGCAGCAACGCCGCGUGCGGGAUGACGGCCUUCGGGUUGUAAACCGCUUUCGCCUGUGACGAAGCGUGAGUGACGGUAAUGGGUAAAGAAGCACCGGCUAACUACGUG